AUGCAGCAGCGCUCGGUGUGCUACUUGCGCGACAUGGCCGGCAGCAGGAAGGCGCUGGCGCUGACGGUCCUCCUCGUCGUCGCCCUCGCGGCGACGGCGCAGGCGGUGUGCGACAUGGACAACGACGACUUCAUGGCGUGCCAGCCGGCGGCGGCGGCGACGACGGACCCGCAGCCGGCGCCGUCGGAGGCGUGCUGCGCGACGCUGGGGAAGGCGGACCUGCGCUGCCUCUGCUCCUACAAGAACUCGCCCUGGCUCAGCCUCUACAACAUCGACCCCAAGCGCGCCAUGGAGCUGCCGGCCAAGUGCGGCCUCACCACGCCGCCCGACUGCUAG
This 336-nucleotide ribosomal RNA is filed under the name Triticum aestivum (bread wheat). Its description in RNAcentral is "partial small subunit ribosomal RNA". Lineage: Eukaryota; Viridiplantae; Streptophyta; Magnoliopsida; Poales; Poaceae. The record is from RNAcentral.